UGUGUUUAAAAAAAAGACUGGAUGUGGCACUGGGUGCCAGGGUUUAGUUGAGGUGUUGGGGCAUGGGUUGGACUCGAUGAUCUUGAAGGUCUCUUCCAACCCAGUCAUUCUGUGAAUCUCUUUAAACAUCACCCAUCUUCAGCAGCUAAUGUCAAAUCCCAGCCUCAAGGGGCUCAAGGAAUGGUUUUGUCCAGCAAAAUUCUGGAAAAAAGCCAGCUGAGUAACACUUGGGGUAGUCAAUGCUCCACUGAGGACUGGCGAGAGCUCCUGGGGACAGCUGGGGUGGCUGCAGUCCCCCCGUGCUGGGCACCUGUGGCCUAACAACAGCAGCAGGAGCAGGAAACAAUCCUGGCUUUGUGCCUGACAGCAGCUGGAGGAAAAGGGAGGCAGGAAGGCAGGAAAGCAAUGCCGGCAGGCCUGGCUGGCCACAUGGGAUGUAAAACCCAGGGAUAUAUUUCUACAUAUAUGACCGGAGGAUGCUCAACCUGCCUUUCCGCUCAGUCCCAUAGGCUUCUUGGGACCAGGGAAUCAGGAUAUUUGAAAAAUACCUUCCCACCACUUAAUACAGGCUAUUUGGCUGCAUCUGCUGCUGAAUCCAUGAGUGUGGAAAGCAAGUGCUCCUCUCCUGGCUGGCUACAUUCUGGAGCUGCUCUGGGGAUGAAGCUCCUUGUCCAGGCUGUGUGAGCAUAUCCCAGAAUAUGCUGCUGCUAUUCUUACCUCCUGCUCCCUCCAGAUGAGAAUAGUUCCCAAAAUGACACAAGUCUCAGAUUUCCCAAUGCUUGGGAAAACAACCAUUUUCCUCAAACCAACAACAUAUUUCAGUGACAGAGACCCCAAAACCUCACUGCAUCCAUUGGGGUCACUCCCAGUGGUGGUGGCUUCAGAUGUCCCUCUCCAAGAGAAGAUGCUGAUGCCACUAGCCCAGAUGACAGCAGGAGGAGGACAAAGGUGUCCAGAGACAGCCCUGAACCGCAAGUGAUACCAGUGUAGGUGUUUGGGGUCACCUUGUCCCACAGCCUGCACAUGGAACACCCCAAAACAAAGUCACUGGGAAGAUGGCAACAAACUCCAUGACUCACACUGGAAUCCAAUGGCAUCACCAUGAUGCUAAUCUUGGCAGAGACCUUGCUCUGGCAUUGCUGCCUCCAGGUCUGCUCUCUCUCCUAAGUCCAGGAGGAUGAUGACUUCAGAUCAAUGACACCAUCAGCCCCUCUGGCACUCAGCAAUGCCCGAUAAAGGAGUGUUAUGGAGCUCUUCCAGCACAGAUAGGGUUUCCUGGGGAAAAAAACACCUAGGCCAGGAAAUGGAGUGGUGGUGUGAGGUUCAGAGGUCUCUGACCACAAGAAGACAUGCAAGGCUGGAAGAUGACGCCCAACUUCUAGCAUGCCUUUGCCUUGAGAGCUGUAGUGCUGCUAUCCUAGUAGCAAAACAAAAAAAACCCAACGUUGCAGGAUGUCCAUUAUGUCCCUUUUGAAUGUACCUGGACAGCCGGCUCCACCAGCUCCCAGUUCCUCCUGAGGGCAGCAGAUGUUGGGAUCCACAGGAGGAUCCACCCACGAGCCAUGUGUUCAAGGACUUGACCCACCAUUGGGUCUUCCAGAGCCUCCAGUGAAAAUUCUAAGUUCCACACCAUCAGGAAGGAUGGGGCAGGAUGAGACAGUGUGAUCCAACUGCUCCUCCACCUUUGAGGCAAAGGAAAGAAGGAGGACAACCAGCCAACCAAUCUGUGGUGGGUCCCAAGGGCUCCAGUGAGACACUCGAUGCCAGCAGGGGAGCUGGAAUGACCACAGGGAGAGUUUGGCUCCCAGAAACGAGAGUUUACCACAGUGAUCACAUCAUUGCCCACCACAAGGAACCAGCACCUGGAGUGCUGGGCAACUGGCUUCCUCCAGCCAUAAAUAACUUAUGCAGUUUAAUUAUUUGGACAUAGAAUUUUAAAAUCCAGUUUAAGGAAAUGUGGACUUUUCUUUUACACAGAGAAACCUUAGGGGAAAAAAUGAUGGUAAGAAAAAAUUUUGGGGAGAACAGCUGGCAAAAAGCAAGGCUACAAAAUCCAGACCUCACAGGGACCAACUGGGGAAGCUGACACUGUAAAGUUCAGAGCCCAGGCUGCAACUGCCUGGCACUUCCAACCCCAGAGCAUAACCAGAGCCCAUCACAGGGGGAUGGAUCGGAAAAGAGGCAGAAAUCCAGGGGGACCCCCAGGAUUCCCAUCCCUCCAUUAAAACAUGCACAUUUGCUCAUUACUCUUCUCACUUAAUUACUGCUUCGGGCAGUCAAUCCGUGCCCAGCUGGCUCAGCUGCAGCCAGAGCCUUUCCCAUGAGCUGCCCCAAUAGCAGGCUUUUAAUUUUAAAUGGGGAUUUUAUACAAGGAUAAUCUCUUCCAGCAGUGGUGAUUUCUGUCCGGGGAGGGAGUGUGGCCAUGUGUGACAGGGUCAACAGUCCAGGAAGGUCUACCACCACCUUCAAACAUUCCUGAAACAUUCAGUGUCAUGCUGACCAGAGUCUUCUGCUUCCCAGCAGAUGCAAAUAUUUAGGCAUUUUUUGGAAUACAAAGAGAUAAAGGAGUGAGGAUGAAGCAUUUGGGGAGCAGAUGCAAGGAGCUCAUCCAGAUACGCAUUUCUAUGAUCAACUACCCACCCAGGACCCACCUUUCUUGAGAAGCAUCACCCCAGCAGGAACACAGCAGCUCUUAUUCUCCUACUAGGAUAUUCUGAAAUUAAGCUCAGAUCUAGUGUUGGUGGAAAUUGCUCCUUGCAAUGCUUCUGGGCGAGCAGCAGCUCCCAGGAGCAGGAUGUGGCAUCCCUCUCCUGUUAUCCCCCCAGGAUGUCUGGAUCUUGCAAUGGUGCCAAGAGCAGCCAUGACUACAUGGACUCAAUUCUGCAUCUGAGGGACAUGCUGGAACACCAGGAAAAGCCAAAUCCCUCUUCCCAGGUGAGCAGCGCAGGGGUGAACAUACUUCCUGUAGGAACAGUCCCUAAAAACCCACUUCUCACCCCAAACUUGUUUUAAUUCCUUCUACUUGGGCGAGGGGCAGUCCCCAUGGGCCAGAGGAGCUGUGACAGCAGCACUGGGCACGGGAACACAGGUGCAUGGAGAUACAGGAUGGGAUGUGUGGUCUGGAUCAUGAUGGAUGAAAAAAGAAGAGACAUUCAGCAUCUUCCCCCACAUGCUGGAGGCUCUGCAAGCAGCUUUUAAACCCUAUUUCAGCCGUCACCUCUCAUUAAAAUGAUGGGAAUUAGGAUAAAAUGUCUCAGCAAGUGUGGCCUUUUGUCAUUGAAGCCUAGAGAGGCUCCUCGGGAUGCUCCCUAAGGCUUUGGCUUUUACAUCUCUGAUUUCUGUUGGAGCAAAUCUCUGCCUGAGCUGAUGCUCAGGAUGAGAGUGGGAAGCCUGGGCCAAGCUGCUCCAGGGACCAUUUACAUGCCUCUCAAAGGUCUCCUUCCCUCUUUUUUCCUCUCCUUCUGUUCAUUUUACCAGGUCUAAAAAUACUCCACUAAAAACUAUCUUCCUCUGCAGCCGCCUCCCUCCUGGAUGACUAAUAAUAUCUGUUGCUCCUUCUUGAUGUCUCUGUAUUUCCCAAGUCUUCCCCAAGGGAAGGAACCAAAUCAGGGCUCAACCAACUCCUUGGAUUCAGACUCCUAAAUUAAUUUUCCUCAGAGAAGGGUAUUUUUUUCCAUCUCCUCCAGUAUAGCAGCAGUUUAAACCCACCUCCUCAGCUCACAAUAAACUAAUCCUGCUCCACGGCUUACACCUGGCCAAUGCUGCUGAAGCAUUGUUCUGUAUGGGAGCUCCAGGAUCCUGGCAUUUUCAGAGCUCUAGGGAGACUAGCAGGUUCACUGGGAAAACCAUCAAGCACUUGGAAAACUAUUUAUUGUCUGUUUUUUUCAGGUUUCAAUUUUUUCCAGCAUCUUUCCAGCCCUGGAGCACUCCCUUGGGGAAUAUGCUGUGGAGGCUGGGUUAGGCUGGGUUUGGUGCCUGGUCCUUGGAGCUGGAUGACCAGCACUGGCUGUGCAAGGAACUUGCAUUUUAGGAGCAGGGGGUGAAUGCUGGGCACUGGGGGUGUUUGAGGUAGUGGGACUUAGUGGGGAAAAAAGCCAUUGCCACCAAUGUGGUGACAGCAAGGUGAGUUUUUCCUCUGAGUGGGAUGUUAGAAUACUGUAACAGGGAUUGGCUUUCCUGCACUGUUCCAUGUCUUUCCAAAACAGAGCCACGACCUGCACCAGGCACACUCCCUACUGUCAGCACCACAUCAUGGAUUAGUCAGGAUACAGGGAUGGAACAGUACUGGCAGGAGCUGGAGGUGUGAUGAGUUUCUCUCGACUCAGAUACUGCAGUACGGCCAAAUCCCUCAGGGCUCAGCCCACUGUGACUUUCCAAAGAGAUCCUCAAUGAACAACCUUUGGAAAACCCUCAUGCUGACACUGCUGAUGUAAAAAAUGUCCCCAAAUGGUCACAGUCCUGGUGAACCAGCCACUUCCAGCCCCAACCCUGCACUGCAUGGAGGCAGAUUUAAAGGGUAUUUGGCUGCCCCAACACUUCUGGAAAUCUCCCUGGCCGGCUAAUGCCCAAAUAUCUUUGCAAAUCUUUAUUUAGGAAAAAUAUCUGCUUGGGAGCAGUGCUUAAAAAGCUCAAGGCCAUUUUCAAAUCCGUGUAAUGCUGCAGUUUCCUGGACAUGUGAAAGUGAGAGGAAAAAGCAGAUCAGGCUGAAGCAGGCACAGGGCCAGGGCUGGUGGCUGUGCCCAGGGCUAUACUGGUAUGGAGUGCCAGGGGUUAUUUCAGCCCCAAGCUCCCUCAGCCGCUCACCACGACUGGACCAGCAUGGAAAGCAGGGAGGAGAGCAGUCCUUCCACAUCACCCCAGGCAGGAGAUCCAGAAGGGCUACCAGGGCCAUGGACACAGAGGUGUGGGUGAAGCUGCUGCUAGCCCGGCAGGGAGCCAAGCUCCAUUAGCCCUCCUGCCUUUACUGCCUUUACAGGAAGCCACUCGCUUGAGCUGUCAAUAUAGAGAUAAAAAAAAAAAAAAAAAAAAA
Long non-coding RNA from Motacilla alba alba, 5029 nucleotides. RefSeq lists it as uncharacterized. The transcript has 2 exons. Lineage: Eukaryota; Metazoa; Chordata; Aves; Passeriformes; Motacillidae. The record is from RefSeq and is a predicted model, not a curated record.